UACGGAGGGUGCAAGCGUUAAUCGGAAUCACUGGGCGUAAAGCGCGCGUAGGUGGCUAUUUAAGUCAGAUGUGAAAGCCCUGGGCUCAACCUGGGAAUGGCAUUUGAUACUGGAUAGCUAGAGUAUGGUAGAGGUGAGUGGAAUUUCAGGUGUAGCGGUGAAAUGCGUAGAGAUUGGAAAGAACACCGAUGGCGAAGGCACUUUACUGGGCUAUUACUGACACUCAGAGACGAAAGCUAGGGUAGCAAAUGGG
RNAcentral lists this ribosomal RNA (253 nucleotides) under uncultured bacterium. RNAcentral's name for it is "partial 16S ribosomal RNA". It matches the Rfam family "Bacterial small subunit ribosomal RNA", at positions 524 to 776 of the family's 1533-position model. The record is from RNAcentral.